Molecule: transfer RNA, 70 nt
Filed under: Poromitra oscitans (yawning)
Lineage: Eukaryota; Metazoa; Chordata; Actinopteri; Beryciformes; Melamphaidae
Also listed under: 3 other names
Description: tRNA-Pro
Rfam family: tRNA
About the family: Transfer RNA (tRNA) molecules are approximately 80 nucleotides in length. Their secondary structure includes four short double-helical elements and three loops (D, anti-codon, and T loops). Further hydrogen bonds mediate the characteristic L-shaped molecular structure. tRNAs have two regions of fundamental functional importance: the anti-codon, which is responsible for specific mRNA codon recognition, and the 3' end, to which the tRNAs corresponding amino acid is attached (by aminoacyl-tRNA synthetases). tRNAs cope with the degeneracy of the genetic code in two manners: having more than one tRNA (with a specific anti-codon) for a particular amino acid; and 'wobble' base-pairing, i.e. permitting non-standard base-pairing at the 3rd anti-codon position.
Source: RNAcentral
CAGAGAAUAGUUUAGUUUAGAAUCCUAGCUUUGGGAGUUAGGGGUAGAAGUUAAAAUCUUCUUUCUUUGA